GAUGAACGCUAGCUACAGGCUUAACACAUGCAAGUCGAGGGGCAGCACAGUGUAGCAAUACACGGGUGGCGACCGGCGCACGGGUGCGUAACGCGUAUCCAACCUUCCCGUUACUCUUGGAUAGCCUUCCGAAAGGGAGAUUAAUACAAGAUGGUAUUCAAAUUCCGCAUGUUAUUUGAAUUAAAGAUUUAUCGGUAACGGAUGGGGAUGCGUGACAUUAGAUAGUAGGCGGGGUAACGGCCCACCUAGUCUACGAUGUCUAGGGGUUCUGAGAGGAAGGUCCCCCACACUGGAACUGAGACACGGUCCAGACUCCUACGGGAGGCAGCAGUGAGGAAUAUUGGUCAAUGGUCGGAAGACUGAACCAGCCAAGUAGCGUGAAGGAUGAAGGUUCUAUGGAUUGUAAACUUCUUUUAUACGGGAAUAAAACACCUUACGUGUAGAUCGAUGAGAGUACCUUGCGAAUAAGCAUCGGCUAACUCCGUGCCAGCAGCCG
RNAcentral lists this ribosomal RNA (496 nucleotides) under uncultured bacterium. Its description in RNAcentral is "bacterial SSU rRNA". It matches the Rfam family "Bacterial small subunit ribosomal RNA", at positions 28 to 517 of the family's 1533-position model. The record is from RNAcentral.